Molecule: small nucleolar RNA, 63 nt
Filed under: Ictidomys tridecemlineatus (thirteen-lined ground squirrel)
Lineage: Eukaryota; Metazoa; Chordata; Mammalia; Rodentia; Sciuridae
Description: Spermophilus tridecemlineatus (thirteen-lined ground squirrel) Small nucleolar RNA SNORD48
Rfam family: Small nucleolar RNA SNORD48
About the family: U48 belongs to the C/D class of snoRNA which contain the C (UGAUGA) and D (CUGA) box motifs. Most of the members of the box C/D family function in directing site-specific 2'-O-methylation of substrate RNAs.
Source: Rfam by way of RNAcentral
UUUGCUGAUGACCCCCAGGAACAACAAGUGUCUCACUAACGCCAUCUUCACAGCUCUCUGACA